GAUGAACGCUGGCGGCGUGCCUAAUACAUGCAAGUCGAGCGAAAGGACGAGAAUCUUGUUUUUCUGAUGUUAGCGGCGGACGGGUGAGUAACACGUGGAUAACCCACCUAUAAGACUGGGAUAACUUCGGGAAACCGGAGCUAAUACCGGAUAAUAUUUUGAACCGCAUGGUUCAAAAGAGAAAGACGGUCUUGGUGUCACUUCUAGAUGGAUCCGCGCUGCAUUAGAUAGUUGGUAAGGUAAUAGCUUAUCAAGGCAACGAUGCGUAGACGACCUGUGAGACUGAUAGGCGGCAUGGGAACUGGACCACGGACCAGAGUACUGCGAGAGGGCGCAGUAGGGAAUCUUACGCAGUAGUCGAGAGUAUUGCGGAGCGACGGCACGUGUGUGAUGGCAGUGUUCGGAGCGUGAAGCUCUGUUUCGAGGGAAGAACAGCUGUGUACGUAAAUGUGCACAUCGUGACGGUACCUAAUAAGAAAGCCACGGCUAACUACGUG
This 497-nucleotide ribosomal RNA is filed under the name uncultured bacterium. RNAcentral describes it as "partial 16S ribosomal RNA". It matches the Rfam family "Bacterial small subunit ribosomal RNA", at positions 28 to 507 of the family's 1533-position model. The record is from RNAcentral.